Molecule: ribosomal RNA, 396 nt
Filed under: uncultured bacterium
Lineage: Bacteria
Description: partial 16S ribosomal RNA
Rfam family: Bacterial small subunit ribosomal RNA
Source: RNAcentral
AUACGUAGGUGGCAAGCGUUGUCCGGAAUUACUGGGUGUAAAGGGAGCGCAGGCGGGACAGCAAGUUGGAUGUGAAAUACCGCAGCUCAACUGCGGGGCUGCAUCCAAAACUGUUGUUCUUGAGUGGAGUAGAGGUAGGCGGAAUUCCGAGUGUAGCGGGGAAAUGCGUAGAUAUUCGGAGGAACACCAGUGGCGAAGGCGGCCUACUGGGCUCUUACUGACGCUGAGGCUCGAAAGUGUGGGGAGCAAACAGGAUUAGAUACCCUGGUAGUCCACACUGUAAACGAUGAUUGCUAGGUGUGGGGGGUCUGACCCCUUCCGUGCCGGAGUUAACGCAAUAAGCAAUCCACCUGGGGAGUACGGCCGCAAGGUUGAAACUCAAAUGAAUUGACGGGG